CGCAGCCCUUGGCUGCACAAGGUAAAGGGGAGAGAGAGAAGGAAGAGGCCACUAAGUACAGCUCAGUGAUACAUGCAGCCCUUGGCUGCACAAGGUCUGUGACAAUGCCCACCCCACCCACAUCCAGUAUGGAGAAGAAGAAUCUUCUGUAUGUACUUCAGUCUGGAGCCAGUCCUGGUGACACACACUUGUAACCCCAGCCACUUUGGAAGCAGAGGCAGGAAGAUUACCAAAUCCAAGGCCAGCUUGGACUACAGAGUUAAGUCAAGGCCAGUCUGGACAAUUUUAAGACCCCAUCUCAAAAUAAAAAGUAUAAAGAAAGUUUGGUAUAUAACCCUAUUGUGAUAUAUAUUACACAUAUACAUACACAUAUACACAUAUAUCACAUACACAGAUACAUUACAUAUACAUAUGCACAUCUCAAUGUACAUCUCAUAUAUGCAUAAACAGUAGAGGCCUUGAAU
Molecule: non-coding RNA, 464 nt
Organism: Rattus norvegicus (Norway rat)
Lineage: Eukaryota; Metazoa; Chordata; Mammalia; Rodentia; Muridae
Source: RefSeq, a predicted model, not a curated record